GCAAAGUACUCGAACCCUUGGUUGCCGGCUUGCUGGAUCACGCCGUGGUUCUGUGGGACUAUGAACAGCUGUCCCUGCUGCACCUCCUGGUCAAGAAUUGCAUCUCCGUUCUCGUUCACCACCUGAACCCUAGCAUUUCCUCUGAUCACGUACACCACUGAGUGGGCGUUCACAUUCCAGUGUGGGCUGUAGAUACCAUUCUGCAUGCAUGCACAAGAAUAAUAAUAAGAUAUAUCAAGAUCAUUAGAACAUUAAUUAUUAAGCAUUAUCAAGAUCAUUAGUUAAUCAUAAUUAAAUAUAAAUUAGCAAGUAUAUAUAUGUUUGUGUAAUUGCUUACGCGGUAGAAGAAGCCUCUCUCGGCGCUGAGGCGGAGAAACCUGAGGAUGGGGAGGUUGUGGCUGUUGAGGGUGCUGAUGCGGCCUGCCCGGGGAGAGAAGAUGUCGGCACGCUCAGGGUUGCCGAUGUUCUCCUUCAACCUCAAGCUGCAGAAGGUCUCCUCAAGACCGUUGGCCAUCAGUUGUCCUCCUUGUUGUUGCCUCUCCUGCUGGAGCUGCUCCUGUUGUCGCUCCUCGUGCUCACGCUCCUGUCGUCCCCUUGGGGGCUGGACGAAGUCGAGGUUGCCCCUUACCUGGAUGAUUUGGUUCCUGUUGUCGUUCUGUCCCUGGAGGUUCCUGGCAGUCUCUUCGUUGACGUUGAGGGCCUGGGCGAGGAGCUGUGUGUUGAAGCCGGAGAAGACGUUGUUGCCGUUUCCUUGUUGUUCUUGUUGUCUGGGACGUCCGAAUGGUUGCUGAUGCUGUCCGGGACGCCCUUGCUCACCCUGCUGGCGGGGUUGGCUUUGGCCUUGUUGGUUAAACUCAUUCUCUGGGUUACCAGCUAGAUAGAAUUUCUACAUAUGAGAUAAAGGUACCCUUGGGUUUUGGUCGAGCUGGUUGUGAUCGCUGCUGACGUGGAAAAGGUUGACUGCAACAAGCUCCUGGUCGCCGUCGUUGUAGGACCAGUAGGCGACUCCGGCAGGGAUGGCGACAACAUCACCCUCACGGAUGCGGCGGGUCUUCUGGUGGCGGUCGAACUGUCGGAAUUGUUGUUGUUGUUGCGGGCGCCCUUGUUGGCCUUGCUGCUGCUCUUGUUGUCUUCCUUCUUCUUGUUGCUGUCUCCCUUGUUGUCUUCCUUGUCGUUCCUGCUGCUGCUCUUGUUGGCCCUGUUGUCGUCCUUGUUCUCCCUGUUGUUGUUGUUGUCGUUCCUGUUCCUGUUCCUGCUGGCGGCCCUGCUGAGAAGACUGCUGAGACUCUUCGAAAGUCUCAGGGCACCCAGAGAACACUGCCCCUAGAACACCCCUACCUGCACACCCAUUCAUGCAAUAUUUUAUUUAGUAAACUAACGACUCAAUUAAUUAGUCUCGUAAUUUAAUAGUUAAUUAAUUAGAUCUAGUAAUAACACGUGACCUUGGACGAUGUAGAUGAGUUGAGGGGCGUUGGAGUAGGAAGGCAAGUGUAGGCCGUUGCGCUGAAUGGUGAUUCGAGAGGCGGCGACCCCGGCACACUGGAAGUCCUCCUGGUUGAAGUUCCAGGUCUCGAUCUGACCCGCCUCCGCCUGGAUGCGGUUGUCGGGUUCGCGGGCUUGAAGCUGGUUGAGCUGGCACUGGUUCUGCGGACUCAACUGGGACUGGCGUGCCGCUAAGCAGCCAUUGAAAACCAGAAGCAAGCAAAGCGAAAAAACGAAAGCCUUAGCCAUUACACAAGGAAUGAGAAGGAGAUAGAUGACUUGUAAUUCGAGCUCACUUGUAUCUUGUGUUUGAGAUGUUAAAGCGGCGAGCGGUAGGCGCUGGUAUUUAUAGGAGGGAAAAUGAGUUGAGGCGUGGGCACGUAGAGUUUCGUGUGUAAGGCAUCUUUUGCCAUUCUUCUGCUUGCAUGGCUUUGAGGCUUCGAAUUGUUAACACCUCAUUUUGCGUAGCAGGGGCAGCUGGCUAUAUAUGCGGCAACCAGCGGUGGGGUUUCUCGUCAAUAUUGUUGUCUGGUUCUGAACUUGAUUCGCACCUGGCCGUUUGGUGAAGUAGAAUUCAUGGGACUUGGGAUCCGAACCAGGGCCCAUCUGACACUGCGUGCUUGGUGAGAAACGUGAACUCCACCUGAUUGUCUGUGAUGAGUUUUGUUGUGUUGUUAUUCUUCUAUCUUCUACAUUGUUCUCAUACCAACACCAUCAGAUAUUCUUCAGUUUUGUUGUUCUCAACUUUUAUGUCAAACCUACCCUCUCAUUAACUACUUUACUUUAUUA
Long non-coding RNA from Prunus dulcis (almond), 2271 nucleotides. RefSeq lists it as uncharacterized. The record is from RefSeq and is a predicted model, not a curated record. NCBI's taxonomy places the organism in Eukaryota, Viridiplantae, Streptophyta, Magnoliopsida, Rosales, Rosaceae. The transcript is spliced from 2 exons.